Long non-coding RNA from Anopheles stephensi (Asian malaria mosquito), 1519 nucleotides. RefSeq lists it as uncharacterized. The record is from RefSeq and is a predicted model, not a curated record. Lineage: Eukaryota; Metazoa; Arthropoda; Insecta; Diptera; Culicidae. The transcript has 3 exons.
GUGUUGGCAGACAAAACGAUUCUUUCGACGACUCCCGCUGAGGACUGUAUAUUAAAGGCUUUAUUAAAGCUUAACGUUAAAGGCUUUGAGGGAAGAGUAUUUAUAUUUAUUCUUACUCUUUUUCUUUGCGCGUAAAGUACCGAUGUCUUUUCGACUAAAGUCUUAAUAGAUGCCCCCUCUGAAUAGAUGACCCAGUGCACAAUCGGGUCGUGUUUUGGUCAAAAUCGGGUCGAAACGACCUGUCACCUUGUAUGAAACACCCGAUCUUGUCCCAGCCGGUAAAUUGAGUUUUCCGAAUCCGAGAUAAACGACGCGCUUUUUUUGACCAACAAUGGCGAGAAGAGAGUGAAAAAACUGGUGUUGAACAUGCUUCCACAUUUGUUAAUGAAGGUGAAACAAAUAUCCUUUCCGACAAUGUUCAGUCUCACUCUACAUCUGCUCGUGAUAGUGACUGUGAGAUUAGUUUUACCGACGAUUAUGCAGAAGAAAUCCUCCAUUCAGAUGAUUCGUUUGAGUCAUGUGAAGAUACCUCCAGUCAUGAAGAAAUUAGUAUAGAAGGAAAAACUAUCGAGGAAAAGCUACGUAUUUGGGCGCGUACUUCGUGACGAUAUUUCCUUCCCAAUACCGAAAGAGGCGCGGACACUGCUAAAAACUCCACUCUCAAAUGAGAGUAAUACGAUAACCACCAUUGCUGGUGGUCAACUAUGGUACCAUGGCAUCGCUUUUAGUUUGCAACAUCAGUACAAGUAAGACGAAGUUCAUUUAAAUGAUGCUAUUUAUUUUACAAACACUACUUGCACUUUCUUUUACAGUAAAACAACACCAAACGUUCAAACACUAUGGCUGGAUUUUUUCGUCGAUGGAAUUCCAUUGCAUAGAAGUGGAGCGAAUCAGUUUUGGCUAAUAUUGGUGGAAGUGUUUGGCCUAGCUGUGGAACAGUUACUUGUUGUCGCAGUUUAUUGUGGUGAGUCGAAACCAAAUUCGGUCGAGGAAUUCGGUCGACCCAUGGUGACAGAGCUAAGCUAUUUGCAGCAAAACGGCAUUGAAAUUAACGGUCGUAAAUUUCAAGUGUCUUAACGGGUUUUUAUUGUCGAUACUCCAGCUCGUUGCUUCACCAAAUGUAUGGAACAAUAACAUUACAACUAGUGUUGGGUAAAGUGCUUGUGUGCGCACAUUGCAAACAACACACCUUACUGUCCGCACAGUAAAGCACUGCGCUCGAAGUGUGCGUACUGUGCUCGCCUAAAGCACUGUGCGCACAAUGCUCACCUCAAGCACUGUGCGCACUGUGCUCGCCUCAAGCGCUGCUCCGCACUUUGACUAUCAGGCCACUAGUUUUUUGAGAAUAACUCAAAAAGUUGAAGAGAUAGACGAACACGAUGUUCUACAAAGUUGUUUGGAAUAAAAAAAAACGCAUCCUUUCGUACAUUAUUUGCAUAAUUGUAUGCAGGCUUCAUUCCGUACCAUCACAAUUAGGCCAUCUGCUCACUUCAAGCACUGUGCGCACAGUGCUCAACUC